GUUGAGAAAUGUGGUCGACCUACUGCGGUCGACUGACCUAAAUCAUGGUCGAUCGGUUUGGCAUAGCUCGAAGCUGUGCCGAUCGACCGACCUGAUCAACAGGGCCAGAACCAGAAUCCGAUCGACUUUCUAUAGUUGAUCGAUUGAGAAGACUUGUCGAUCGAUCGUAGUCAACCAGCUAGAUCAAUCGGGGUAGAAGGAUCUGCUCGACUUUCUGCAAUCGAUUGGUUGAGGAAAGUGGUUGACUGACCACGAUCGACCGGCCAGAUCAAUCGAAGGAGAUCGAGAUCUGCUCGACUUUCUAUGGUUGACUGACUGAGGAAAUUGGUCGAUCGGCCAUGAUCAAUCGAUCACAUAUCCUGGUCGACCGACCCAUAACCCUAGUCGAUC
Molecule: long non-coding RNA, 390 nt
Filed under: Elaeis guineensis (African oil palm)
Lineage: Eukaryota; Viridiplantae; Streptophyta; Magnoliopsida; Arecales; Arecaceae
Description: long non-coding RNA (EGUI_LNC006122)
Source: RNAcentral